GACGAACGCUGGCGGCGUGCUUAACACAUGCAAGUCGAACGAAGAGCGAUGGAAGCUUGCUUCUAUCAAUCUUAGUGGCGAACGGGUGAGUAACGCGUAAUCAACCUGCCCUUCAGAGGGGGACAACAGCUGGAAACGACUGCUAAUACCGCAUACGAUCUAACCUCGGCAUCGAGGAUAGAUGAAAGGUGGCCUCUACAUGUAAGCUAUCACUGAAGGAGGGGAUUGCGUCUGAUUAGCUAGUUGGGGGGGUAACGGCCCACCAAGGCGAUGAUCAGUAGCCGGUCGGAGAGGAUGAACGGCCACAUUGGGACUGAGACACGGCCCAGACUCCUACGGGAGGCAGCAGUGGGGAAUCUUCCGCAAUGGACGAAAGUCUGACGGAGCAACGCCGCGUGAGUGAUGACGGCCUUCGGGUUGUAAAGCUCUGUUAAUCGGGACGAAAGGCCUUCUUGCGAAUAGUUAGAAGGAUUGACGGUACCGGAAUAGAAAGCCACGGCUAACUACGUG
This 510-nucleotide ribosomal RNA is filed under the name uncultured bacterium. RNAcentral describes it as "partial 16S ribosomal RNA". It matches the Rfam family "Bacterial small subunit ribosomal RNA", at positions 28 to 507 of the family's 1533-position model. The record is from RNAcentral.